This 301-nucleotide ribosomal RNA is filed under the name uncultured bacterium. RNAcentral describes it as "partial 16S ribosomal RNA". It matches the Rfam family "Bacterial small subunit ribosomal RNA", at positions 509 to 807 of the family's 1533-position model. The record is from RNAcentral.
CAGUCGCCGCGGGAAUACGUAGGGUGCGAGCGUUAAUCGGAAUUACUGGGCGUAAAGCGUGCGCAGGCGGUUUUGUAAGACAGGCGUGAAAUCCCCGGGCUCAACCUGGGAAUGGCGCUUGUGACUGCAAAGCUAGAGUGCGGCAGAGGGGGAUGGAAUUCCGCGUGUAGCAGUGAAAUGCGUAGAUAUGCGGAGGGACACCGAUGGCGAAGGCAAUCCCCUGGGCCCGCACUGACGCUCAUGCACGAAAGCGUGGGGAGCAAACAGGAUUAGAUACCCCCGUAGUCCCUGUCUCUUAUAC